CAGCAUUCACAGCCGACCACAGCCACCGAUGUUGUCAGGCACCUGUACGGUGUGUUUCAGCUCAGUGAUCAGCUGGCCUGUGAUUCCGGCAUGAACCCAUCUCUCAAUGUCUGCAACAUGACCUGCUCUGCUUUGACAGAUGAUGACAUCACUGAUGACAUCGCCUGCCUGAAGACCCUGAUGAACAUCACGAAAGCUAAACCCAAAGAAAUCCCCACUCAUGUAAAGAAGAUUGUGGAGAUGAAGGAGUGCCCCUCUGUCGCUUCCCCAAACUACUUUGCUGACUGUGUUUAACACACACAGAGCAGACUCACUCUAGCUGCAUCCUGCUGCAUGACUUACACUCACACACCAGUCUGAUGCUUUCCAUGGCCUCCGUCUUUGAUUGAAUUGUGACAAGAUCAUCAUGAUGGUGGCGGGAGACUCUGAAUAGAGGGAGUUUGUGCAUUAAGACACUUUAGUUUACUACUGUAAUACUGUGAAUGUUUAAACUUCUGUCUAAACAUAAAUCACUGUUUAAAACUAUAUGAUUGUGCUGCUUCUGAGGGCUUUUAAAUACUGUCACUUUAUCAUAAAAACAAAAU
This is a long non-coding RNA of Carassius carassius (crucian carp), 584 nucleotides long. RefSeq lists it as uncharacterized. The record is from RefSeq and is a predicted model, not a curated record. NCBI's taxonomy places the organism in Eukaryota, Metazoa, Chordata, Actinopteri, Cypriniformes, Cyprinidae. The transcript is spliced from 4 exons.